AUACGGAGGAUGCGAGCGUUAUCCGGAUUUAUUGGGUUUAAAGGGAGCGUAGGUGGGAUAUUAAGUCAGCUGUGAAAGUUUGGGCUCAACCUUAAAAUUGCAGUUGAUACUGGUUUCCUUGAGUACGGUACAGGUGGGCGGAAUUCGUGGUGUAGCGGUGAAAUGCUUAGAUAUCACGAAGAACUCCGAUCGCGAAGGCAGCUCACCGGGCCGGAACUGACACUGAUGCUCGAAAGUGCGGGUAUCAAACAGGAUUAGAUACCCUGGUAGUCCGCACAGUAAACGAUGAAUACUCGCUGUUUGCGAUACACUGUAAGCGGCCAAGCGAAAGCGUUAAGUAUUCCACCUGGGGAGUACGCCGGCAACGGUGAAACUCAAAUGAAUUGACGGGG
RNAcentral lists this ribosomal RNA (392 nucleotides) under uncultured bacterium. RNAcentral describes it as "partial 16S ribosomal RNA". It matches the Rfam family "Bacterial small subunit ribosomal RNA", at positions 523 to 918 of the family's 1533-position model. The record is from RNAcentral.